RNAcentral lists this unclassified non-coding RNA (668 nucleotides) under Hevea brasiliensis (rubber tree). The record is from RNAcentral. Lineage: Eukaryota; Viridiplantae; Streptophyta; Magnoliopsida; Malpighiales; Euphorbiaceae.
CAGGUUAUUAGCCCAGUUGAAGCUGCUGGGUAUAUUGUUGUGGUGGAUGAGUUGCUCACAGUACAGAACUUAUCUUAUGACCGCCCUACAAUUUUAGUGGCAAGAAGAGUAAGUGGAGAAGAAGAAAUUCCAGAUGGUACAGUUGCUGUGCUGACACCUGACAUGCCAGAUGUUCUAUCCCAUGUUUCUGUGCGAGCAAGAAAUAGCAAGGUUUGCUUUGCCACAUGCUUUGAUCACAACAUUCUGGAUAAUCUCCGAGCAAAUGAAGGGAAAUUAAUGAAUCUGAAACCUACCUCAGCAGAUAUAGUCUAUAGUGAGCUAAAGAAGGGCGCGCUAGCAGAUUCAAGUUCAAAUAACUUGAAAGAAGUUGGUCCUUCACCUAUAAAGUUGAUCAGAAAGAAGUUCAGUGGUAGAUAUGCCAUAUCAUCGGAGGAGUUUACCAGUGAAAUGGUUGGUGCCAAAUCACGCAAUAUCUCACAUCUGAAAGGAAAAGUACCAUCCUGGAUUGGGAUUCCUACAUCAGUUGCCUUACCAUUUGGAGUUUUUGAGAAGGUUCUUUCAGAUGGUUCAAAUCAACAAGUGGCUAUGAAUUUGAAAGUGUUGAAGAAAAAGUUGGAACAAGGAGAGUUUAGUCAGCUCAGGAAAAUUCGCAAGACAGUUUUACAGCU